This 462-nucleotide ribosomal RNA is filed under the name uncultured bacterium. RNAcentral's name for it is "partial 16S ribosomal RNA". It matches the Rfam family "Bacterial small subunit ribosomal RNA", at positions 29 to 507 of the family's 1533-position model. The record is from RNAcentral.
AGUGAACGCUGGCGGCGUGCCUAAUACAUGCAAGUCGAACGGAGAUUAAGUAGCUUGCUAUUUAAUCUUAGUGGCGCACGGGUGAGUAAUAUAUAGCUAACUUGCCCAUUACUAAGGGACAACAGUUGGAAACGACUGCUAAUACCUUAUACUCCGUAUCUAUAUAAGUAGAUACGGGAAAGUUUUUCGGUAAUGGAUAGGGCUAUAUCGUAUCAACUAGUUGGUAAGGUAAUGGCUUACCAAGGCUAUGACGCGUAACUGGUCUGAGAGGAUGAUCAGUCACACUGGAACUGAGACACGGUCCAGACUCCUACGGGAGGCAGCAGUAGGGAAUAUUGCUCAAUGGGGGAAACCCUGAAGCAGCAACGCCGCGUGGAGGAUGACACUUUUCGGAGCGUAAACUCCUUUUCUUGGGAAAGAAUUAUGACGGUACCCAAGGAAUAAGCACCGGCUAACUCCGUG